This is a long non-coding RNA of Megalobrama amblycephala (Wuchang bream), 582 nucleotides long. RefSeq lists it as uncharacterized. Lineage: Eukaryota; Metazoa; Chordata; Actinopteri; Cypriniformes; Xenocyprididae. The record is from RefSeq and is a predicted model, not a curated record. The transcript has 2 exons.
UAUAUUUAGCUGAAUGCUCCUCUCUAGAGUUCACUUUUCUAGCUGACUAAUGAGUUUAUGGUCACUGAAUAUGUUUGUUCUGAGGUAAAUGUGACGUUACGUGACAUUGUUUACAAGCUGUUAUAAUGUCUUUCCGCAGUUAAAACACUGAUUACGCGAAUACACGAGACAUGAUAUGGAUUUAGUUAAGUUGUUCUGUAUAUUUUAACAUAACGUUACCUUCGGAGGUUCAUUCAUGUUUAUUUCGCGCUGUAACUGGUAUUAAAGCAGAGAAGAGGAUCAGUUCACGGGCGCUUCAUGCUGCCGCUUCUCUUGAACUGAUGAGGCGCUACAGCGGUCACGACACAUUGAAGAGCGCCAAAACGAAGCGGCUGAAGAGGAAGUCGACUCUUUUGAGACUGGUCAAACGGAAAUCCCCAAACCUGCGCACAUGACACACGCCGCCCGACAACAUCUGCUGCUGACCAGAUGAAAACUCAUCUUUAUUUUUCCAGCAGUUUUGAGAAUCAUAUUUUAAGGCUUGUAUUGUCUGCGGAUCAUUUUUGGCCCAUUUUCAGUAAAAAAUAAAUGCUAUAAAUACCA